Molecule: transfer RNA, 84 nt
Filed under: Treponema sp.
Lineage: Bacteria; Pseudomonadati; Spirochaetota; Spirochaetia; Treponematales; Treponemataceae
Also listed under: 1 other name
Description: tRNA-Leu
Rfam family: tRNA
About the family: Transfer RNA (tRNA) molecules are approximately 80 nucleotides in length. Their secondary structure includes four short double-helical elements and three loops (D, anti-codon, and T loops).
Source: RNAcentral
GCCCGGAUGGUGGAAUUGGUAGACACGCUAGGUUCAGGUCCUAGUGCCGUAAAAAGCGUGUGAGUUCGAGUCUCAUCCCGGGCA